Erpetoichthys calabaricus (reedfish) is the source of this 944-nucleotide long non-coding RNA. RefSeq lists it as uncharacterized. Lineage: Eukaryota; Metazoa; Chordata; Cladistia; Polypteriformes; Polypteridae. The transcript is spliced from 6 exons. The record is from RefSeq and is a predicted model, not a curated record.
AUCGGGUCUCAUUUGGAAACACAGGAAGCUCGGCGAGCUUCUUGCUUUGACAUGUGACGUCAUCUUCAUUGAUACAGUAACCCGCGAUAAUGACUUCUACGACUUUGAUGGUAUUAAUAGGAAGUUUAUACAUGAAGUAUCGUGAAAGUGACGCGUAUGUCCUUGUUGGCGUUCAGUCUUCGAGAUGAGAGACCAGCUAAAGAACACACCUCCCAUUGAUGACGUCCUAUCCCUUCCAGGACCCAUCUACCGAAGACCUCAUUUCCUGUUCUGGCCUCCCUGAUCCAUCCCCUUCCGGUUUUAGCCAUAUUUAAGAUGCCAGACACACUCUGUUAGCUCUUUGCCUGCUCGCAAGGUCUCGCCACGGGGAUGGCUUCAGCAGCUUGCCACAGCUCUCGCAAUUCUGGUCCUGGUUUCUCAGUCUCUAUCUCCUCCACAGCCAAAAUGAGUACAGAUGAGGAUCCCAGCCAGUCAUCUCAAAUAUUUCAAAGUUUCUGGAAACAAGAACAAUAUGCCAGUUAAGAAUAAAUGAAAUGCUAGAAAAGCAGAAGAGCAUUGUUUUCAAAAUGCUGAAAGAAUGAAGGAGCUUCACUAGUCACGAUACGGCAGGCACACACCUAAUGAAGAAGAGAUGAAGAUGAGGACAGUGAUCUCGCUAAGGUGCAAGACUGGCUUUCCUUGGAUCCAUCAGCUGAGGCGAUAAGAGAAGAGAAGGCAAAGAAAGAUGAAACAGCUGACAGAAGUGUAGCUGCACUGCAGCACGAGUGAUCUCGCAGGCAGAUAAGGAUUUAAGAGCCUCAUAUUCAAGUCACUCGGACAAUGUCUUGCUUCACUCAUGGCGGUUGUGAGUUUGUGCACAAAGUGACCACUUUAUUUGUUAAGCCUGCCUAAUAGCAGGUUAUUCACCAGUUUUCUUGAUGUGGUUAUGGACUCAACAAGGUGUC